This 192-nucleotide ribozyme is filed under the name Anopheles stephensi (Asian malaria mosquito). Its description in RNAcentral is "drz-agam-2-2 ribozyme". It matches the Rfam family "drz-agam-2-2 ribozyme". Lineage: Eukaryota; Metazoa; Arthropoda; Insecta; Diptera; Culicidae. The record is from Rfam by way of RNAcentral.
UAUUCUCAUUCAUAUGUUAAUGGGGUAGGAUCCGAGACUUUCCGGGUCACACAGGCUCUCCUACCCAACUCCUAUUCCGUCACGUCCUCGUCGUACAGAGCGGUAACUUUCCCCACCACAUAUCCAAGCUUUGGUACACGGACCUGUCCCAACCCCUUUGGCGGAUGGUGGAGCAAGGCUAAACAGGAGGGG